AGCAGUGUGGCUCAGCGGCAAGAGUCCGGGCUUGGGAGUCAGAGGUCACGGGUUCGAAUCCCGGUGCUGCCA
Ornithorhynchus anatinus (platypus) is the source of this 72-nucleotide non-coding RNA. Lineage: Eukaryota; Metazoa; Chordata; Mammalia; Monotremata; Ornithorhynchidae. The record is from Rfam.